GCUGAGCUCAGUUGCGUGAGCUUGUAACCCGAGCGGGGCAUUAAGGUGAUGUGGAUGUUGUUGAGUAGUGGACCGUUUGGGGCCUAUGCGAAAGUUGGGCCUCACGGUCCAUAAUGUGGUAGGCAUAGCGUGAGGCUGGCUUCACAGAGUCCUAGGCCACUUGGGCCAUCACUUUUUCUUUUGCCUCGCACAUAUUA
Molecule: non-coding RNA, 197 nt
Filed under: Triticum aestivum (bread wheat)
Lineage: Eukaryota; Viridiplantae; Streptophyta; Magnoliopsida; Poales; Poaceae
Source: RNAcentral